GGGCCAUUUUGUUCUUCU
Molecule: non-coding RNA, 18 nt
Filed under: Arabidopsis thaliana (thale cress)
Lineage: Eukaryota; Viridiplantae; Streptophyta; Magnoliopsida; Brassicales; Brassicaceae
Source: RNAcentral